UUCAGGGUUUGUGCACAGCGCUUACUGUUAAUGGUGCAGCAUUGAGACAUAAAUUCUUACGUAAAUUCUUUGUGUCAGCAGUUUUGGGAAGAUCUUUUCCUGUUCCUUAAUAAAAGCACAAGUCAACUCUAUAAAGACAUGUUUUGAUGAGCCUGGUGUGCGGGAACUUCCCUGACAUGCACAGAGCCAACUCCAAGAAGAGGGGAGGCUGUUAAAGUUGCAAAAGCAGGGGGUUGCGAAAUGCCCAUGCCAGCACAACACACUAACACACAACCACCAUGUCAAAGCCACUACAGUGCUGAGAAUGAUCCACUACCCACAUAAUACAUACUCCAGCAGCAAAGUAUGCAGAGAAACAGGUGAACUACAGUCUGUAAUUGUAGAACUACAGUGUGCAUCUAUAUGAGAUUUCAAGGGCCACCCUCAACCUCCAGAGCUGGGCAGCUGCAAUAAGGGGAGACCAUGCUAGUAUUUGGAUCUUUACAAUAACCAAAUUGAAAUGAAAAACUGAAUUAUAAAAUGUUUUAAACACUUAAGUUUAUAAGGAAGAAACCAUAUUUACUAAAAAAACAUUUCCAGCUGAGCCUGUAUUGUGUAUCUAACAGAAGCAGUACUAAAAUGUGAACUGACGAUCUCAAAAAAGCUAUGAUAGUCACUUUCUGAUUUUAAGUUGACUUGUCCUUUAGUUUUUACAGUGUUUCUAGGAUGUUGUUAGAUGAUACAUGAAUUAAUUACAUGUUAUAUAUGCAGAUGUUUUUCUUGUAGAUUUUUUAGCAGGUAACAUGGACUCAAAUAAGUAUUCAUGGUGGCUGUCUAUUCAAGCUUUGCAUAAGAGCUUGGUAAACAAGCCAAAGUGUAGCUUAGGUAAAUAUUAUGACCACAUUUUUAUCAGAAUAUUUAUACUCAGCAUGUUAAUUGUAAUUUGUUUAUUUGUAACAGUUUCUUGCAGGGGCUGACCAUGAGGCAGGUCAACAUGCUACAAGACAGACUGUCAAAAAACAGUUCAACACCAUCCAGCAUGUCCAAGAAAAAUUGUUAAUUUUGUGUGAAGCCUGAAGAGAUAAAGAAAAGCAAAGUGCCAGAGAGUUGUUGGCGCUGACAUUGUGAUUCAUAUUGACAAAAGUAAAUUGUCACAAACGAAAGGUAUGGUUGUGUUUACAGUUACCUGUUUUGGGAGUUGAUGCAGCAAAGCUAGUGCAACCAUGUUGUUUUCGUUCAGACAUUAAAAAUAUAAAUCAUACAUGGAG
Long non-coding RNA from Pygocentrus nattereri (red-bellied piranha), 1247 nucleotides. RefSeq lists it as uncharacterized. The record is from RefSeq and is a predicted model, not a curated record. NCBI's taxonomy places the organism in Eukaryota, Metazoa, Chordata, Actinopteri, Characiformes, Serrasalmidae. The transcript has 2 exons.